RNAcentral lists this ribosomal RNA (493 nucleotides) under uncultured bacterium. RNAcentral's name for it is "partial 16S ribosomal RNA". It matches the Rfam family "Bacterial small subunit ribosomal RNA", at positions 29 to 507 of the family's 1533-position model. The record is from RNAcentral.
ACGAACGCUGGCGGCGUGCUUAACCCAUGCAAGUCGAACGGUGAAGCGCCUUCCUUUUUGGUGGGUGUGGAUGAGUGGCGAACGGGUGAGUAACACGUGAGUAACCUGCCCCCUUCUUCUGGAUAACCGCAUGAAAGUGUGGCUAAUACGGGAUAUUCUGGGUCUGUCGCAUGAUGGGUCUGGGAAAGAUAUUGUUUCGGUGGGGGAUGGGCUCGCGGCCUAUCAGCUUGUUGGUGGGGUGAUGGCCUACCAAGGCGGUGACGGGUAGCCGGCCUGAGAGGGUGGACGGUCACACUGGGACUGAGACACGGCCCAGACUCCGACGGGAGGCAGCAGUGGGGAAUAUUGCACAAUGGGCGCAAGCCUGAUGCAGCGACGCCGCGUGAGGGAUGGAGGCCUGCGGGUUGUGAACCUCUUUCGCCAGUGAAGCAGGCCUGCCUCGUUUGUGGGUGGGUUGACGGUAGCUGGAGAAGAAGCGCCGGCUAACUACGUG